UUUUGUUUGACUUUUAUUAUUUUUUAAUCAACACGAAGAAGAGCGCUGAAUUACUGAAAUAUGUAAAUGGAUUGGAGGCUGUCGUAGCCUCUUCAAGGAAGGUGAACAACAGAUCGCAGAACCGCUUAUUCAAAAGCUGCACCCAAAGCUUUGUCGCUUUGUUCAACUGUGUAAACAAAAAACGUCCGUUUAGCGAACGUAACCUUGUUUUCUUUGUUGAAAACACACGCAGCCCCGUUGCUGCUCGAACAACGAUUUUAUUCUAUCUCCAUUAGGGAUAAAGAUCAAAUCUUUGACAGGACCUUUUAUCAUCGAUAUUAUUGUGAUAAAUUUAUAUCUAUUUAUGGAUCUCUCAAUAAGAACUAAGCCGGAUAAGUACCGAUGUGGACUUGAAACCGUGUAAAAACGAUCAAUUUUUCAAUCUCUUUCUUCUCCCUCUUCCCAUUCAAUUAGACCAGCUAACAAAACGUCCUAUUCAUUGACCGAUGAACGACGUAAAACAUUCAUUCGAGCUAAAUAAGUCAAAACUCUCGGAAACAACUGCUGCGUGCUUUGAAAAAAUUUUGAAUUCAAAAUUAGUCAUUAAUUUCAAUCGGAGGGAUCGUACACACGAAUCGAGCAAUUAAGCGUUAUAAAUCAAUCAAUUUUCGUCUCGUUCUUUGACUGUGAGAAAUAAUUAGGAACAUUUAUUACGUUUUUAGAGGCAAUUAGUGUCGAAUAUCUGCCAAGAAUAAUAUUAACGUGAGUGUGAUUUUCCAUCAAAUUGGAAGAGGAACAAGUAAACAUUUAUGUACGAAGUUCACGUUUCUUCAUAAUUCGGAAAGUCAUUUAUUUUCAGCGUUCCAACGUUCAACCGGUUGAUAAGAUAUUACAAGUUGGCAAAUGUUUGCUCCCCCUCAGAAUUUUAUCUUCGAUUCAAGUCAAUGAAGAAGUUAUCGUAAUGCAACAAAUGAGAAAUGCAAUCCCGGCUAACACUGUCAAUAUAUUAUUCCUUAGUUUUAAUGCUUUCACAAUAAUAGAUUACUCAAACAUCUGACGAUGACACAACAUAUUGAGCCGUCCAUGGAACUUCACAAUUUAAUGAUCCGCCUUGAUUAAUGAGUAAUAAAACAAUUGUCCAUUUA
Molecule: long non-coding RNA, 1124 nt
Organism: Venturia canescens
Lineage: Eukaryota; Metazoa; Arthropoda; Insecta; Hymenoptera; Ichneumonidae
Exons: 2
Source: RefSeq, a predicted model, not a curated record